Molecule: ribosomal RNA, 468 nt
Filed under: uncultured bacterium
Lineage: Bacteria
Description: partial 16S ribosomal RNA
Rfam family: Bacterial small subunit ribosomal RNA
Source: RNAcentral
GACGAACGCUGGCGGCGUGCUUAACACAUGCAAGUCGAACGGAAAGGCCCUGCUUUUGUUGGGUGCUCGAGUGGCGAACGGGUGAGUAACAAGUGAGUAACCUGCCCUUGACUUUGGUAUAACUUCAGGAAACUGGGGCUAAUACCGGAUAGGAGCUCCUGCUGCAUGGUGGGGGUUGUAAAGUUUCGGCGGUUGGGGAUGGACUCGCGGCUGGUCAGCUUGUUGGUGGGGUAGUGGCUUACCAAGGCUUUGACGGGUAGCCGGCCUGAGAGGGUGACCGGCCACAUUGGGACUGAGAUACGGCCCAGAGUCCUACGGGAGGCAGCAGUGGGGAAUAUUGCACAAUGGGCGGAAGCCUGAUGCAGCAACGCCGCGUGCGGGAUGACGGCCUUCGGGUUGUAAACCGCUUUCGCCUGUGACGAAGCGUGAGUGACGGUAAUGGGUAAAGAAGCACCGGCUAACUACGUG